Molecule: ribosomal RNA, 479 nt
Filed under: uncultured bacterium
Lineage: Bacteria
Description: partial 16S ribosomal RNA
Rfam family: Bacterial small subunit ribosomal RNA
Source: RNAcentral
GACGAACGCUGGCGGCGUGCUUAACACAUGCAAGUCGAACGAAGCUUGAUUACGGAUUCUUCGGAUGAAGUAUGAUAUGACUGAGUGGCGGACGGGUGAGUAACGCGUGAGUAACCUGCCCUUCAGAGGGGGGUAGCGUUUGGAAACGAACGGUAAUACCGCAUAAUGUAUUUUGACCGCAUGAUCGAAAUACCAAAGAUUUAUCGCUGAAGGAUGGACUCGCGUCUGAUUAGGUAGUUGGUGGGGUAACGGCCUACCAAGCCGACGAUCAGUAGCCGGACUGAGAGGUUGAUCGGCCACAUUGGGACUGAGACACGGCCCAGACUCCUACGGGAGGCAGCAGUGGGGAAUAUUGCACAAUGGGCGCAAGCCUGAUGCAGCAACGCCGCGUGAAGGAAGACGGUUUUCGGAUUGUAAACUUCUGUUCUUAGUGAAGAAUAAUGACGGUAGCUAAGGAGCAAGCCACGGCUAACUACGUG